Gasterosteus aculeatus aculeatus (three-spined stickleback) is the source of this 660-nucleotide non-coding RNA. The record is from RefSeq and is a predicted model, not a curated record. Lineage: Eukaryota; Metazoa; Chordata; Actinopteri; Perciformes; Gasterosteidae.
AGUAUUAAUGUGCAGGUACACUGAAAGCCUACUGUUUCUAAUGGUCAAAGACUACAUCACAAUACUAUAACAUGUCUCAUUCUUUGCAUUGUCAAGAUCAUAUGUGAUGCUGCACAUCUCAUUACAAAUGUGGAGGCCAAGUGGCCCGGUUCUGUUCAUGACUCACGAUACAUUCGUGAGUCAACGCUGAGCAACAGACUGGAAACUGGAGAGAUUGAUGGCUUUCUGCUGGGAGAUAGGGGUUACCCAUGCCGACCAACACUAAUUACCCCUUACCCAGAACCUGAACCAGGCCCCCAGCGCCGCUUCAAUGUGGCACACUGCAGGACGAGAGCCCGGGUGGAGAUGACCAUAGGCCUGUUGAAAGCACGUUUCCAGUGCCUACGUCACCUCAGGGUAACCCCUGAAAGGGCCUGCGACAUUAUUGUGGCAUGUGUUGUUCUCCAUAAUAUUGCCAUAAUUAGAGGGGAGCAACACCCUGCCCUACAAAUACAAGACCCAGAGGAAGACCCCAUCAACCCGGCAGAUUUCCAGGAGGGAAGGGUAGUCCGGGAUAUGAUAUGCCGAAAUGUCUUCACAGAUUAAUACACAUUAUAUCCACCACCACAACCAACCAACCACAAAAUAAAAUAAAAAUGAAUAAACACAAAAUCACAGCAA